GUAUUAUAUUUUCGUUUUCUUCCUACUUGUCUGCGGGCUCGCGGGCCGCCAUUUUGGUGACCCAAAUACUACUCUCUAGUAUAGAGUAACUACAGAGAAUAGAUCAUAAAGUUCCGCAAAGGUCGAUUGAAAGUAUAGCCUACCUAUCUACCUAUAUCAUUAUAAUACUUAUAAAAUAUGACCUGACCCAGUGGUUUUUUUUUUUCAUAUUUUAAUUUCAUAGAUCAAUCAGCUACAAUAAAAAUCACUGACAAAACAUAGACAGCGAUAAUUAGGAAAGGUGUAAGACAAGGAUGUCCACUCUCGCAAGCCUUAUUGAAUAAUUAUGUCGGACAGCCUAUUAAAGAAAUUAGAGAAACACUUCUCGGAAAUAAAAUAGGCAUAAAAAUGGGUGGA
Non-coding RNA from Cinara cedri, 396 nucleotides. NCBI's taxonomy places the organism in Eukaryota, Metazoa, Arthropoda, Insecta, Hemiptera, Aphididae. The record is from the annotation of a GenBank genome assembly.